GUUACAGGUAAAAUAGUACCCUGCCACGGUACAGACCCGGGUUCGAUUCCCGG
This 53-nucleotide transfer RNA is filed under the name Ipomoea nil (Japanese morning glory). It matches the Rfam family "tRNA", at positions 10 to 63 of the family's 71-position model. Rfam says of the family: Transfer RNA (tRNA) molecules are approximately 80 nucleotides in length. The record is from Rfam by way of RNAcentral. Lineage: Eukaryota; Viridiplantae; Streptophyta; Magnoliopsida; Solanales; Convolvulaceae.